CUGCAACUAAGCCACACAACUCGGACGGGUCAAAAGAACCAUCAUAUCAUAUAUACUAGGGUGAGGGAGAAACAAGAGAAAAAAGAGUAGUAGGAAAUAACAGUGGUCCAACCAGGGCAAGGACGAAGAGACACUACAAAAACAAUCAAAAAAUUGAUCUAAAACAAUAGGAUAAAUAAACUACAUCGUAAAUGAAAAGCCAAAGGGCAUAAGAUGGAAGUUCAUCCUUAAGUAAAUUGCCAUCCAUUCAAGAAGAGAAAACAACACUCUGUAUUAAAAAACUGCAUCCUUUUCCAAAGACAAAACACACGGCAAGGCCUCCAACAAAAUUAAACUAAUUACCAACAAAAUUU
This 353-nucleotide long non-coding RNA is filed under the name Trifolium pratense (red clover). RNAcentral describes it as "long non-coding RNA (TPRA_LNC006110)". The record is from RNAcentral. Lineage: Eukaryota; Viridiplantae; Streptophyta; Magnoliopsida; Fabales; Fabaceae.